Molecule: ribosomal RNA, 426 nt
Filed under: uncultured bacterium
Lineage: Bacteria
Description: partial 16S ribosomal RNA
Rfam family: Bacterial small subunit ribosomal RNA
Source: RNAcentral
UGGGGAAUAUUGGACAAUGGGCGAAAGUCUGAUCCAGCAAUACCGCGUGUGUGAAGAAGGCCUUCGGGUUGUAAAGCACUUUAAGUUGGGAAGAAAAAACUUUACCUAAUACGUGAAGUCUUGACGGUACCGACAGAAUAAGCACCGGCUAACUCUGUGCCAGCAGCCGCGGUAAUACAGAGGGUGCUAGCGUUAAUCGGAUUUACUGGGCGUAAAGCGUGCGUAGGUGGUUUGAUAAGUCGGUUGUGAAAGCCCCGGGCUCAACCUGGGAAUUGCGGCCGAUACUGUCAGACUCGAAAACGGUAGAGGGAGGUGGAACUCCAGGUGUAGCGGUGAAAUGCGUAGAUAUCUGGAAGAACAUCGAUGGCGAAGGCAGCCUCCUGGGCCUGUUUUGACACUGAGGCACGAAAGCGUGGGUAGCAAACA